RNAcentral lists this non-coding RNA (28 nucleotides) under Homo sapiens (human). Lineage: Eukaryota; Metazoa; Chordata; Mammalia; Primates; Hominidae. The record is from RNAcentral.
UAUAACCCUGAGGUAGGACACUAAAUGU